RNAcentral lists this ribosomal RNA (497 nucleotides) under uncultured bacterium. RNAcentral describes it as "partial 16S ribosomal RNA". It matches the Rfam family "Bacterial small subunit ribosomal RNA", at positions 28 to 507 of the family's 1533-position model. The record is from RNAcentral.
GACGAACGCUGGCGGCGUGCCUAAUACAUGCAAGUUGAGCGCUGAAGGUUGGUACUUGUACCAACUGGAUGAGCAGCGAACGGGUGAGUAACGCGUGGGGAAUCUGCCUUUGAGCGGGGGACAACAUUUGGAAACGAAUGCUAAUACCGCAUAAAAACUUUAAACACAAGUUUUAAGUUUGAAAGAUGCAAUUGCAUCACUCAAAGAUGAUCCCGCGUUGUAUUAGCUAGUUGGUGAGGUAAAGGCUCACCAAGGCGAUGAUACAUAGCCGACCUGAGAGGGUGAUCGGCCACAUUGGGACUGAGACACGGCCCGAACUCCUACGGGAGGCAGCAGUAGGGAAUCUUCGGCAAUGGACGAAAGUCUGACCGAGCAACGCCGCGUGAGUGAAGAAGGGUUUCGGAUCGUAAAACUCUGUUGGUAGAGAAGAACGUUGGUGAGAGUGGAAAGCUCAUCAAGUGACGGUAACUACACAGAAAGGGACGGCUAACUACGUG